This 497-nucleotide ribosomal RNA is filed under the name uncultured bacterium. Its description in RNAcentral is "partial 16S ribosomal RNA". It matches the Rfam family "Bacterial small subunit ribosomal RNA", at positions 28 to 507 of the family's 1533-position model. The record is from RNAcentral.
GAUGAACGCUGGCGGCGUGCCUAAUACAUGCCAGUCGAGCGAACAGACGCGGAGCUUGCUCCUCUGACGUUAGCGGCGGACGGGUGAGUAACACGUGGAUAACCUACCUAUAAGACUGGGAUAACUUCGGGAAACCGGAGCUAAUACCGGAUAAUAUAUUGAACCGCAUGGUUCAAUAGUGAAUGUCGGUUUUGCUGUCACUUAUAGCUGGAUCCGCGCCGCAUUAGCUGGUUGGUAAGGUCACGGCUUACCAAGGCAACGAUGCGUAGCCGACCUGAGAGGGUGAUCGGCCACACUGGAGCGGAGACACGGUCCAGACUCCUACGGGAGGCAGCAGUAGGGAAUCUUCCGCAAUGGGCGGAAGCUUGACGGAGCAACGCCGCGUGAGUGAUGAAGGUCUUCGGAUCGUAAAACUCUGUUAUUAGGGAAGAACAAAUGUGUAAGUAACUAUGCACGUCUUGACGGUACCUGAUCAGAAAGCCACGGCUAACUACGUG